UACGGAGGAUGCAAGCGUUAUCCGGAAUAAUUGGGCGUAAAGCGUCCGCAGGUGGCGAUGUAAGUCUGCUGUUAAAGAGUGAGGCUCAACCUCAUAAGAGCAGUGGAAACUACAUAGCUAGAGUGCGGUAGGGGCAGAGGGAAUUCCUGGUGUAGCGGUGAAAUGCGUAGAGAUCAGGAAGAACACCGGUGGCGAAAGCGCUCUGCUAGGCCGCAACUGACACUGAGGGACGAAAGCUAGGGGAGCGAAUGGG
Molecule: ribosomal RNA, 253 nt
Filed under: uncultured bacterium
Lineage: Bacteria
Description: partial 16S ribosomal RNA
Rfam family: Bacterial small subunit ribosomal RNA
Source: RNAcentral